UGCUCAUCCUGAUUGCUGUGGUUCUUGAACAAUCAUUCUCCAGUCCUUCAUCCAGAAGCAUGCACUCCUUCCAUGCAUACAACGUCAUGUAGCUUCACGACCAAUCACAUGAUUAAGGAAAGAUAGCUCCAGUCACUUCCAAUGGCAAGAAAACAGAGCACGAAUGGAAAGCGGAGGAGAAAUAAAUAUGCAAAAUAUCCAGUGAAUGGUCAUACCUUGCACAUUCGUAGCUAUAUAAAAGUAUCACUCCUCCCAAGGGUAGACAUCCAGGUCUUCUCCGUGCAGCUGUUGGUGACGCUCUUGGAGUCCAGCUAGCCAUUGUGAGGAGACAUCUUCCAUAUCCUCUGUCAGAAACAGCUGGUGCAACUUGUCCAAACCCUCAACACACCUCAGAGCUUCACAUAGACCUACACGCAACAGUUUCAUCUGGGGAAUAUUUGAGAUCCUCUCCAGGCAUUCACAAUAUGAGACUGAAAGUUCCUCAGACAGAAAUGGGAAGUUCUCCACCACCUUAAUAUUGUCCAUGAAUUUUAAUCGGAGCUCCUUCAAGCUGGUGGCUUCCUGUCCAAGCUGCCGUGGAAGAGCUCUCAGCUUGGGGCAGCUGUAAAAAUCCAGGCCCUUCAAACGUGGCAGCAGCUGCAUCCUUGGAGGUGGGGCUUCCCCCUUUUGCUUUGCAGCAGCUCCAUCCUCUCCACCUUCCUUACCUGCUGCCGUUGCUUCUUCUUCUUCAACUACAAAGGUCCACUCCUCCCAGUUGGGCAUAUACCCGAUGGACAAAAUUUCAAGCUUGGGGAAAGCAACUGCCUCUGGAGAUCCGAAAUUACCCACCCCCAAGCCAAUAAAUUCAGGUCCAAUCUUGGUGACUGCAGUUGCUCCCUGGAUUCUCAGGAAUUUCAAGUUGGGAAGGUGCCCGAUUGGAGGAAGUUGCGUAUAGGAUUUGCAAUGUUUAAGUAUCAAGUAUUUUAGUGAAGGCAAAUGUCUAGCAGCACCUAACCAGGUAGGAAACCUCCGACCACAAAAUCGCUUCAAAACUAGAGCUUCCAGGUUUUUUGGAGGUAUUAGCUGAUCAAAUACCUUCUCAAUAUUACUAAUAACCUCUUCAGAGUAUGGUUCCUCCGCACAUUCAGUGCAAUAUAAAUAUAAUUCUUUAAGAUGCUUUUUAUUAGUUAGUAGUGAAUCUAUACUGCAAACAGCAGAUGCUUCCAAUUUUGUAAUAAGAAGCUGCCUCAACUGCAAAAGAGGACCCAACUCUUCUAGAUUCCAUCCAUCUUGCAUUGCAGUGCUAUAAUCACUUCUACCACAAAUUGGAAAUCCAUCUAAAUUAUUGAGGUAUUUCAAACCCCCAAUACCUUUUGGAACCUUAUUUAUUGCCGAACCUUUGAGACCAAGACUCCUUAAGUUAAAUAAUCUACAGAUUGCUAAAGGAAGGCUGUGCAAACUGUCACACUUGUUCAAUUCCAAUACCUCAAGGUUUUUGAGAGAACCAAUAGACUCCGGAAGGCAAGUUAUGCUGGUGUCAUUAAGAUUCAACAAGCGCAAAUGAAUCAAACUUCCAAUAUAAUCUGGAAUAUUUUCUACACUUGACCCACUUAAAUCCAAAACACGAAUAUAUGGAAAUCGCUUGAAAAUUGAAGAUUCAACUACCAAUGACUUGCCACAGAAAUUUAUUGAAGUUCUCACUUUGAGUUGAUGCCUGUCCACAAUAGGUAAAGAGAUCAUAUCAUUGCAUGUUACAACUGACACACGUCGCAAUUUAGAUAUACUCCUGCAAUCCAACGAUCGUGGGUCUCCAAAGAAACACUCUUCUCUUGAUAAAUGCUGAGCAAGUUGUCUUAAGAGGUCAUGCAUUGUGCACCUGUAUGGUUCUGCAUACCGAGGAUCUGGUAGGAGGAGGUUCCUUGAGACCAACUCACAGAAGUAUUCUUCUGCUGUAUCUUCUAGUAGUUGGUUAUUUUGCUUUUCAAUAAAGCCCUCGGCAAUCCAGAGCCUGACAAGAUCAUCACAACGUAGUGUCCAAUCUUCAGGAUACAAAGCACAGUAAAGAAAACAUUGCUUCAGGUUUUGUGGUAGCUGAUCAUAACUCAAGUACAAAGCACCUCUGAGUUCAGCAGGGAGCUUACUUAUGGACCAAGCAUCAUUGUCUAGAAUCUUCUGCCAUUCACUCUCUGUUGUCUCCUUCACUGCAAGAACACUAGCCAUAGUCCUAAUUGCAAGAGGAAGGCCACCACAUUUUCGAACAAUUUCCAUUCCUUUGUCCUGCACGUUGUGCACUUCUUUCUCAUCAGAUAUGUUCAUACUCUUCCAAAGCAGCUCCCAUCCUACUUCCACUGACAUCAAUUCGACUCGAUGCAUGUGUUCCACUCCAAUUGCCUUUGCAACUGUAUCAUGUCGAGUUGUUGUUACAAUUGUUACUUGAGCUGCAGCAUUGAGUGGAGUUCUUAGUAAAUUGGUCCAUACAUCAGACUCCCACAAGUCAUCCAACACAAGGAAAAAGCUGUCUCCUUCAAUGGCUUCUGCAAGUUUGGCUUGAAGCUCUCCGAUGCUUUCACAAUUUUCUUUGUCCACUCCAACAUUUCGAAGUAUUUCAUUCAAUAGAGCAACUUGAGAGUACUGUUGGGAAACGCAAAUCCAUGCAUACUUCUUAAAGUUACCCUUCACUCUUUGAUCAUUGUAUAUUUUCUGAGCUAGUGUUGUUUUUCCAACUCCUCCUGUUCCAACAAUUGCCAUCUUGUAAGCCUUCUUGUCCUUGUGUUCUAGCACCAACCCUACCAAUCUAUUGGUAGCAUGUAUGAUCUCUUUUCCAACAAGAUUUGGUUCUACCAGGUGGGAUGUUUUUCUCAUAUUUGAUACUAAUACUCUAUCAAUAGGUUCUGUUUCAAACUUGAAAUUUGUACCUAACUCUUUAAUCAUCUCUAUUCUUUUGUUGAGGCCUCUAAUCUGUACCGCAAUCUCAUGACGUGUCUUUAGAUUCAAAAAGCAAGAGAAAGUUGCAAAUCCAUUGCAUGUAAUUAAUUUUCUUGAUAAUGAUGAAGAGUUUUCUCCUAGUAGAUUGCUCCCUUUAAACCUGACCAUGUCAAUUAUAUCAUCAGCAUCAUACAUUGCAUCCUUCAGCUCACCAAUCCAAUUACUAACUGCUAAGUCUUCAAUCCUCCUCCGGUCAGCAUCUUUCAGAAAACACUGUAUUUGUGUCAUUGUUCGUUGCAGGUCACUAAGCUCUUGUUUAACACCUAGUAUCUGUAUCGCUUCCUCUAUAAUAAGUUCUUGGAGCUUUUGGAUGCAUGAUCCCGCAAAAGAAAAUAAUAUGGUUGCCAUUAGGUGAAUCCCUGAAGCAGACCCACCACCACCAAUAUAUCUUUUCAGAGCUAAGAAAACCAGUAAUAUGAGGGACUAGCUAGUGAGUUUCCUUGAGCAAGCUUUCACAGUGUUAUUCCAUAAACGAUUGAACUUGGACCUGAAAUUUAUAAAGUUUACAGCAGUAUGUCAAAUCCGUACGCACUUGAAAGAUGUACAACACCACAUGCUCCUAUGAGUACUCAUUAUAUUCUGUAAACUACUACUUGACAUAAUCUCACACUGAUUGCGAAGAGAAUAAAGGAUAUGUAAAUGAUGAAAGCACCUAGGAAAAAUUCACACCAUGCACUAUCGGGCAGAUAGACAAAACCAUCUUGGGUGGACUUAGGUGCAUCCAUCCAUGAGUUUUAGACUCCCUUAUGCACUAUGUUCCAGACUAAAACCCAUGUAAUGGAUCUUUGAUUUCCUUUCACACUAGCCAUUUGUGGAUAUUAUUCUUGUUUUUUGUGCAUUUAUAACUUCAUCUACAAUAAGGACUGAUUGCUAUGCAAAUAGGUCUAUCCUGCUAGUAGAUAGCACCUAGCCUUCCGGAACUCAGGCUUCUGCUUGUAGUUGACUGAGUUUACAUGUUUUUGCUUUGACUUGCCAUUAUAUCUGUAUGUGGAAAGUAUACUCCUUAUUUUUUCAGUGUAAUUGUCUCUUGUGUGCACAUUUAUUUCUGACUUAAGCGCUAGUUCCUGCUCAGCUAAAUAGAAAGAUAAACAUCAAAUGACUCAAACUGACUGAUUUGCAUAUUCUAGCAAUGUUUCCUUUCUAGCAACCUAACUGGUCACAUAUUUCCAUGCUCACAUAUUUCCAACCCUCCUCUCAUACUAAAAACAGCUUUAAAUUUUCAAGAGUUGGUCGACUCAUUUAGCUUCUUUCAUCCAUAAAUCUACUCCAGAAAAUCUGACCUUUCAAGUGCUAGUAAUGUUACAUUGCAAGUCAAAAGAAUAUAGGAGGCUGCAGGAUUUCAUUUCCAUGAAUGAGAAAUGGACGUAACUUGUAACAAUUCUUGGAAGAAGUUAGAAGAUUCCAGUGCGCUCAAGUGCACAAGCCUUACCUGAAUCAAAGACCUAUUUUCAACAGGCCUGACUGACAAUAGAAGUCAAGGAUGCAAGAUCAUCCACCAGCAGCAACAACAGUUUGUUUCUGAAGGUCAACUCAAUACUGAAGGAAGAGGAACAAAGACUAAUUGCUCAAAUAAUAUCCCUCAAUGAACUGAACAUCGAUAGCCAAUAUGUGGUCGUCACCAUGAAAGAGUCACGAUUACUCUGCUUGAAAGGGAAAGAAAAAUGGAUAAAACUGAGAAGGGUAGUUGAAUUGAGAAAUAAAGAAUCUCUGGAUAGUACGGACCUUUGUGCACUACCAGAACUGCAAGCAGAUGACCUUAUUCUUCCUUGACUGGAGAAGACCCAGAGGAUCACUUCAAGCAGCAGUGUGAGGCAGUAAAUUCGACAGAAUUCACAAUGGUAUCCCUCGAAAAAAAAAUAUCAACCGACAAUGAUACACGCCUGCAACUGCAACACAAGUUUGUGAGACUACUGACACUUCGUAACUAUGAAUUAAUCUUAAUGGAACACAUUGUGCUAACCAAUUAAUAGGCAGAUACGGAAUGAAGGAAAUACACCUCUUUCAAAGACAGUACUGUCUCCCAAACCAGAUUGCCUCGCAUCCUCCUCUCCUUUUCCUCACUAUAGCAGAGGAAAUGUGAUGAGUAUUUAUCACUUCAAGCAAUUCACCAUAAUGAAAUAGAAACAGAUAAUUAUGAUGAGCCCAUCACCACAAAAAUGAGUAGUACAGUGUGGUAUGAGCUAUAAGGAGUUAGCAUUCUGUCAUUUUAUUUUGUGAUUUAAAACGAUGUAAUAAAUUGGGACAAUAUUUAGUAUCAUGCAAAAGAAACCUCUACUAUGAUUGUUUGAUUCACCAUGAGCAGACUUAUGGUAAUGACGAUGGAAACCAUGAGCAGAGCAAAAAACAUACCCUGAGCAGAGGCAGAGCAAACCAGAGCUAAAGGACGCAAAUCAGCAGAGAGGUAGCUGGAAACUGGAGAGCCAUCACUUCCUGGCUAAAAGCUUCAUCUUCCUUGUGUCACAUGAAUUGUGCAGCUGAAGGAGCAACUACUCUUCAAUCAUCUCUCUAACAGAAAGAAAAAUGAAGUGGUGCAUAAUCAACACAUGCAAAUCAAGCUUGAGCUAGGAGGAGAAAGAUUAUGAAAUCUGAAUCGUUAUGGACUAACUGUUCAAUUCGAGCUUACCAAACUGAAAGGAUAUGAUGCAGAGACAGAGGAGGAGGAUGAAAACGCAAGGAGCAGUUCCUACUGAAGCAUCCUCUCUAUUCCUCCUCUUAUCGGCAUCACUUGAGCAUCGAGAAAAUGAAUUCUCUGGCAGAAAAUAGUGGACAAAGUAUAGAACAGAUAAAUGUGUGACAACCACACAAUCACUGAAAACCAACAGAUCACACGUUAACUCCUGGAAAAAGUGGAGACACUAGAAAAUGAAUUCUCUAGCAGAAAACAAGUGCAUGAUCAACGAAAUGAGAAGAAAUAGGUGCAUGAUGAAGACACGUAUGUGAAGCGUGACUUAGGAAGAGAGAGAGAGGAAAGAAAACAUCCGAACCCUUUAUGGACCAGACAAUCAAUUUGAGCUUACCAAAUUAAACAACGCAGAAACAGAGGAGCCAGUUGAAAACCCAAAUAGCACUUCCUACUCAACCAUCAUCCCUGUUCCUCCUCUUAUUGACAUCACUUGAGCAGCGAGAAAAUGAAAUCGUGCAGGAAGUUUGUAUGUAGAUUCACCAAUACUUCCCCCUUGCAACAGCGUUGGAUCUCAUUGAUCAGAAAAGCUUGGAAUUUCAGUGCAGUGGCAAGUGCAAUGACCUAACCUUGUAUAAGAAGAUGCAGAUAUGUCAUUGUUGAACAGGUCAUCUGUGGUUGGCGUCGGCGGCCGAGCGGGUCAAGGUCUCCGUCCUCUAGCAUGGGGAAGGGGCCAUGUAGCGUCGUCUAGCCAGUGACAUGCAACUGUAACGAUGGCACGUUACACCUAACAAGGGUAUUGAAAUCUGCCUAAUCUCCAUGCCCAGACACAAGGUCAAGGUCUGUGGUAUGGCCAUCGCUGUCAAGUGUGGAAGGUGAUUGACAAACAAUUGCAACGUCCCCUUGUUCAGACAGCAGUACUACACAGGCAGUCUGAACUUGUAUAGGAAUUGUGGCAUUUUCUGGCCCGAUUUUGAAACCCAAAUUGCUGUACGAUGAAAUGAACAAAAGCACUGAACAGUCAGGCCCCUGCAAAUUUUUCCAGGAUAUUUACUUUAUUCAUUCAAUUCCACUUUGCUGAGUGUUUUUUUCUCUUUUGCCGAGGGCCAAAAUUUGCCAAGUGCCUUUGGAUAUUUUUGUCGAGUGUAAGUCUUUGCUAAGUGUUUCCACUAACAACACCGGGCAAACAUACUAACGGAUGUACACGUGGCACGUUCUUUGCCGAGUGUCCAUGCGCGUUUUUGCCUAGUGUCUUUUGAUCUGUUUACCAUGUGUCGCGUUGUUUGCCGAGUGUUUUUGUGUUGACACUCGACAAAUAGCUUCUUUGCCGAGUGCUUGAUAGAAUACACUCGGCAAAGAACUUGGCACUCGGCAAACCCACAAUUUCCAGUAGUUUUGGGAGAGGUUCUUCACGUCAGGGAGCUCAAAAACGUGUCACUUUUUAUCUUUGAAUAAGAAACCUGUGACAUUGAAUGUGGCUUUAAAGAGUAAGCUGCAAAGUGGAAACUGCUUCCGAUAAAAGUAGUUGGAACUCUUUUUUUAAAAAAAAAGCAUUAUGCUGGAAACAUAUAAACAGAAAUGAGUACGAUUUCACCCAUAUUACGUGUAAGUUGCAGGCACCGGCCAAGAUAUGAUUUUAACCUGCAUUUCUUGUCGCUACUACAGAAUGAAUCUGCCUCGCAUUUCUCCUUGGUUGGUUCACAGAAGAUGCAUGACUAAAAUAAGUAAGAGCAGUUUUUUUUAUAUACAUUAAUGUUGGUAGGAACAGCGAAACAAGAGCUCACUUUUCCUAGCAGCAACAGAAAGCACGCAACAGCCGAUGCAGUUCUUCGCAUUACAAGAUCACAAUCUACAACAGGUGCAAGUUCAUCACAGAAUUAAUUGAGAAACUCAAGUAGCAGUGUAGCACACGUUUUCAUUCAUACAUACACCACAAGGAUGGUCAAACACUUAAAUAACAAGACGCAAGCCUUCCCACAGUCUAGAAACAAGAGAGGAAGCCGUCUGCUCAUCUUGAUUAAUUGCUGUGGUUAGCUCAUAUUUUAUUCUUUUUAUUGAUGGAAGUGGUUUGCUCAUCCUGAUUGCUGUGGUUCUUGAACAAUCAUUCUCCAGUCCUUCAUCCAGAAGCAUGCACUCCUUCCAUGCAUACAACGUCAUGUAGCUUCACGACCAAUCACAUGAUUAAGGAAAGAUAGCUCCAGUCACUUCCAAUGGCAAGAAAACAGAGCACGAAUGGAAAGCGGAGGAGAAAUAAAUAUGCAAAAUAUCCAGUGAAUGGUCAUACCUUGCACAUUCGUAGCUAUAUAAAAGUAUCACUCCUCCCAAGGGUAGACAUCCAGGUCUUCUCCGUGCAGCUGUUGGUGACGCUCUUGGAGUCCAGCUAGCCAUUGUGAGGAGACAUCUUCCAUAUCCUCUGUCAGAAACAGCUGGUGCAACUUGUCCAAACCCUCAACACACCUCAGAGCUUCACAUAGACCUACACGCAACAGUUUCAUCUGGGGAAUAUUUGAGAUCCUCUCCAGGCAUUCACAAUAUGAGACUGAAAGUUCCUCAGACAGAAAUGGGAAGUUCUCCACCACCUUAAUAUUGUCCAUGAAUUUUAAUCGGAGCUCCUUCAA
Molecule: long non-coding RNA, 8202 nt
Filed under: Setaria italica (foxtail millet)
Lineage: Eukaryota; Viridiplantae; Streptophyta; Magnoliopsida; Poales; Poaceae
Description: long non-coding RNA (SITA_LNC006086)
Source: RNAcentral